This 379-nucleotide unclassified non-coding RNA is filed under the name uncultured bacterium. Its description in RNAcentral is "contains 16S-23S intergenic spacer region". The record is from RNAcentral.
UCGCGGCUUAUCACCGGCAGUCCCCUUAGAGUGCCCAACUAAAUGAUGGCAACACACCACGGGGGUUGCGCUCGUUGCGGGACUUAACCCAACAUCUCACGACACGAGCUGACGGCAGCCAUGCAGCAUCUGUGGAGGUGCCCCGAAGGGAGACCGUGUUUCCACGGCUGUCACCUACAUGUCAAGCCCAGGUAAGGUUCUUCGCGUUGCGUCGAAUUGAACCACAUGCUCCGCUGCUUGUGCGGGCCCCCGUCAAUUCCUUUGAGUUUUAACCUUGCGGCCGUACUCCCCAGGCGGGGCACUUAAUGCGUUAGCUGCGGCACGGAGCGGGUUGAAGACCGCCCCACACCUAGCACCCAACGUUUACGGCUGGGACUAC